GUGGGGAAUAUUGGGCAAUGGGGGCAACCCUGACCCAGCGACGCCGCGUGGGUGAAGAAAUCCCUCGGGAUGUAAAGCCCUGUUGUAUGGGAAGAGCAGAAGACGGUACCAUACGAGGAAGCCCCGGCAAACUACGUGCCAGCAGCCGCGGUAAUACGUAGGGGGCAAGCGUUGUCCGGAAUUACUGGGCGUAAAGGGCGUGUAGGCGGCCGAUUAAGUCUGGAGUGAAAGUCCUGCUUUCAAGGUGGGAAUUGCUUUGGAGACUGGUUGGCUUGAGUGUCGGAGAGGAAAGUGGAAUUCCAAGUGUAGCGGUGAAAUGCGUAGAGAUUUGGAAGAACACCAGUGGCGAAGGCGACUUUCUGGACGAUGUCUGACGCUGAGGCGCGAAAGCUAGGGGAGCGAACGGGAUUAGAAACCCUGGUAGUCC
This 427-nucleotide ribosomal RNA is filed under the name uncultured bacterium. Its description in RNAcentral is "partial 16S ribosomal RNA". It matches the Rfam family "Bacterial small subunit ribosomal RNA", at positions 354 to 796 of the family's 1533-position model. The record is from RNAcentral.